GCCUGCUUGGCUAAGUGGUAAAGCGUCGCACUUGUACCGUAAAGGAGGACAUGCGAAGAUCAUCAGUUCGAUUCUGAUAGUAGGCA
This is a non-coding RNA of Massariosphaeria phaeospora, 86 nucleotides long. NCBI's taxonomy places the organism in Eukaryota, Fungi, Ascomycota, Dothideomycetes, Pleosporales. The record is from the annotation of a GenBank genome assembly.